GAUGAAGAACGUAGCGAAAUGCGAUACUUGGUGUGAAUUGCAGAAUCCCGUGAACCAUCGAGUCUUUGAACGCAAGUUGCGCCCGAAGCCAUUAGGCCGAGGGCACGCCUGCUUAGGCGUCACACGUCGUUGCCCCCCCAUCUACUCCUUCGGGAUUGCGGGGGGCGGAUGAUGGCUUCCCGUGCGCCUCGUCGCGCGGUUGGCAUAAAUGCCAAGUCCUCGGCGACGCACGCCACGACAAUCGGUGGUUGCGAAACCUCGGUUGCCCGUCGUGUGCGGUCGUCGCGCAUCGAGGGCUCGAAAAAAUUGCCGGGCUCCGGCUCGGCUUUCAACGCGACCCCAGGUCAGGCGGGGUUACCCGCUGAAUUUAAGCAUAUCAAUAAGCGGAGGA
This 391-nucleotide unclassified non-coding RNA is filed under the name soil metagenome. Its description in RNAcentral is "partial contains 5.8S ribosomal RNA, internal transcribed spacer 2, and large subunit ribosomal RNA". The stretch from base 1 to 122 matches the Rfam family "5.8S ribosomal RNA", at positions 35 to 154 of the family's 154-position model. The record is from RNAcentral.